GGGGCUGCAGAGAGGCGUAGCAGGGUUAGCAGCUUGGAAAGAGAGGAGGGGGACCGAGGUCGUUGCAGUUGGUACCUGGGGGCCCAGUGGCCCGUGAACGGAAUUCUGGAAGCUGUAGGAAUUGUUUGGAAAGACUUGAGGAAGACCUCCCACAUUCUUCUGUUGACUGUAUUCCAGCAUUAAGAGAGCCUGGAGAGGAGAAGCCUGCUCCCCAUGAAGAGCCUGAUGCAGGACUCAAUGCCAGGACCCUGGGAUCAUGACCUCAGCUAAAGGCAGAUACUCAACCACUGAGCCACCCAGCUUCAUAAAUGACUGACACCUUCAUCUGUCAGACACUUGGGAGAGGCAUGUUCUCCUAAGGUCCCCUCCUCCAGGAAAUGAAAGCAGCUACCUCAGAGCAACAGAUGAGAAUAAUCCUUCCAAACAGAAGGAUUAGCAGAAGUAAGCAUCUGGAAGAAUGAGCCAUGUGUACAGCCUGUUGUUAUCAGUCUCUACUUUUUGUCCUGUUUUUCCAUGAGAAUGUGAAGGAUGAUCCCCCAGGUCAGGAGGUACAGGGCAGUAGAAGAUGGCACAAACAAUGAAAGGCCUCAUUCCCAAGGAAAUUGCUACCUGGAAGAUGGACAACAGAACAGUUCCUAAAGAAGCUAUAAGCAACGUUCCACGGGAGUCAAAAGAAGGAGAGGGUGGUAUGGUACAAUGGCAAAGAGCAUAAGAUCCAGAAUCACAGAUGUCCACUGGCAUAACUUAGACAGGUUAGCUGUACUUAAGAGAAAACUGGAGAUGAAAAGAGACUCUAUAUCAUAUGGUGGAUGCGGGUCUGAAGUGAAUUAAUCCAUGCAAAGCACUUAGUACAGGGCCUAGCCCAUCACAGACCUAAGUGUUAGCUCCUGUGGGGCACUGCACUCCCAUGGGAAACAUGGGAUUGUUGCUACUUCUUGCUGUCUGUAGCUUACACUUUUGAAUAUUCAGUGUUUCAGUUUUUGCUUAGCUCUUAACUUUUUAGAAUCUGAAAUAUAUAGCUGUUAAUAACAACCAAGUGGAGGACAGGGGGAAAAAAAGAGUAAAAUAAUUUUUGAAACCAGUGAUCCAAAGCCAAGAAGGUUUCUUCCUUAGAAGAAAGAUGGUUCACCCAAGAUACGGGCUUAUUAUCCUCAACAGUCUCACUAACCUGAAGGCUGGGAAUGAAAAAAAAUGUGUCUUUGGAGUAACUCUGUUUGCUGUAAGGAUGCCAAUCUAGAAGAAGGGUACCCGAGACUUUUUAUUUUGCAUGCAUGAAACCAAAGGAUCAUUGAAUGGAGAAGAAACAUUAGAAGAACUCAAUAUUAAAAUAACCAGGUCAGUGCCAAAUAUACAUGUCAAUACUUUAAGAUUUCAUUCCUAACAGAAGAUCUAUGUUGGAAAAAAUGAACCCUGGCUUUUCCCAGAUGGAGAAAAGACUCUAUAUGUGUCAUGACUGGAGACUUACAUUUUCUUGUAACAAAGUGCAAGCAUAGUUAAUCAGAGAAAAUAAGUGGUCUGACCUGGACACACAAUAAGGCCCAAAACCUAAUGAAAAAGUCUUAUUGUUUCUUUUAAUCAGCAGUUUAUGGUAGUACAUGCUGGUACUUAUUCAAAAGAAACCUGUAGGCAAAACCAAAGCAGAACAAAGCAAAACAAAACAAACUGGUAGAAAUUCCCCACAUAUAGAUUUAGGGAGUAGCUACAAAAGACUUAUCAAGAAUUGUGAUAAGUAGGAAAAAGGGAAAACCAAUAGCAUAUUAGAAGGCAUGCCACUUAUUUGAUGAUUUAAUACACAAAAUCUUAAGAACUGGAGUUAGUUCCUCACUGUGAAGUAUGUCAUGAGGUCAUAGGAAAUUAAUCAUCCUAGGUGUAAUUAUAUAAAAAAUAGUGAAAGGGAAUAAAGUGGAAAGGAGAAAAAAAGUGAGUGGGAAA
Long non-coding RNA from Nyctereutes procyonoides (raccoon dog), 1932 nucleotides. RefSeq lists it as uncharacterized. NCBI's taxonomy places the organism in Eukaryota, Metazoa, Chordata, Mammalia, Carnivora, Canidae. The record is from RefSeq and is a predicted model, not a curated record. The transcript is spliced from 4 exons.